UUACUUUCUGGACAGGGAAGAUACGAUAAUUAAGAAAGUUAUUUUCCCAAGGAGAGGCUUGUCCAUCGCACUUCGAACUUCUUAUCCCUUCAGUUUUCUCAAAUGUGGGAAACUCGGCUACAUAAUAUGUGGUACCGGGGGACUGCUUUUCCUUU
This 155-nucleotide small nuclear RNA is filed under the name Procavia capensis (Cape rock hyrax). RNAcentral's name for it is "U1 spliceosomal RNA (ENSPCAG00000019362.1)". It matches the Rfam family "U1 spliceosomal RNA". From Rfam's summary of the family: U1 is a small nuclear RNA (snRNA) component of the spliceosome (involved in pre-mRNA splicing). The record is from RNAcentral. Lineage: Eukaryota; Metazoa; Chordata; Mammalia; Hyracoidea; Procaviidae.